GAUGAACGCUGGCGGCGUGCCUAAUACAUGCAAGUCGAGGGACCAGACGAGUAUAUCGAUACUCUUACUUUAGCGCCGGAAAGGUGAGUGAAACGCGGAUAACACUUCUCUUAGACUGGGGUAAAUCCCGGAAACACCCGGUAUUAUCGCCCAAUAUAUAAAACAGUAUGGUCCCUUUAUUAAUGAAGCUCCUGCUGUUCGUUAUAGGCGGACGGGUGAUUAGUUAGCUAGUUGAGGUAAUGGCUGACCAAGCAUACGACGAGGAACUGGUGGGAGGGCACGACCAGUCAGACGGGAACUGAGACACGGGCCCGACCCCGACGGGAGGCAGGAGUAAGGAAUAUUAGGCAAUGGAGGCAACUCUGACCCAGCCAUGCCGCGUGGAGGAUGAAGGCCCUCUGGGAUGUAAACUUCUUUUAUAGGGGACGAAACCUGUGUAUUCUUACGCAGUUGACGGUACCCUAGGAAUAAGCACCGGCUAACUCCGUG
RNAcentral lists this ribosomal RNA (489 nucleotides) under uncultured bacterium. Its description in RNAcentral is "partial 16S ribosomal RNA". It matches the Rfam family "Bacterial small subunit ribosomal RNA", at positions 28 to 507 of the family's 1533-position model. The record is from RNAcentral.